AAUAUGUUGGCAAGAACUAAUAUAAGUUGUGAAAACAUCAUUUCCACUUAAAAGUGUGAAACUCACCAAUGUUAAAGUUAAUACCUGAAAUUAAGUAUUACAUGUGAUACUGCUGGAAUGAAAGUUGAAAUAGAAGAUACUUCUGAUGAAGUCUUGGCAACAAUAUCAAUGGAUUUUGUACUUUGAUAACAUAACAAUCAUAUUAUUGGAAACACAUUCUAAGUAGGAAAUUUUUGUCAUAGUUGAGAGCUGAACAUACAUCUGGGUCUUUGCAGCUACAAUGAAGCUGAAGUAAAAUGGGAUUACGGUGGGCCCUAAAUCCAAUGACUGCUGUUCUUAUAAGACAAGGAAGGGACACACAGAGCUACAGAUAUAAGGGCAUGUGAAAACUGAAGCAAAGAUUGGAAGGAUGCAGAUACAAACCAAGAACUCUGAGGAUUACAACAAGGACCCACCAGAAGCUAGAAAAGGAAGGAUUCUUCCAUAGAAUCCUUCUCCAGAGAGAAUAUAGCUCUACAGACACCUUGAUGUUGGACUUCUAGCCUCCAGAACUAUGAAAUAAAUUUCUGUUGUUUCAAGCCA
This is a non-coding RNA of Microcebus murinus (gray mouse lemur), 582 nucleotides long. The record is from RefSeq and is a predicted model, not a curated record. NCBI's taxonomy places the organism in Eukaryota, Metazoa, Chordata, Mammalia, Primates, Cheirogaleidae.